This 497-nucleotide ribosomal RNA is filed under the name uncultured bacterium. RNAcentral's name for it is "partial 16S ribosomal RNA". It matches the Rfam family "Bacterial small subunit ribosomal RNA", at positions 28 to 507 of the family's 1533-position model. The record is from RNAcentral.
GAUGAACGCUGGCGGCGUGCCUAAUACAUGCAAGUCGGGCGAACGGACGAGAAGCUUGCUUCUCUGAUGUUAGCGGCGGACGGGUGAGUAACACGUGGAUAACCUACCUAUAAGACUGGGAUAACUUCGGGAAACCGGAGCUAAUACCGGAUAAUAUUUUGAACCGCAUGGUUCAAAAGUGAAAGACGGUCUUGCUGUCACUUAUAGAUGGAUCCGCGCUGCAUUAGCUAGUUGGUAAGGUAACGGCUUACCAAGGCAACGAUGCAUAGCCGACCUGAGAGGGUGAUCGGCCACACUGGAACUGAGACACGGUCCAGACUCCUACGGGAGGCAGCAGUAGGGAAUCUUCCGCAAUGGGCGAAAGCCUGACGGAGCAACGCCGCGUGAGUGAUGAAGGCCUUCGGAUCGUAAAACUCUGUUAUUAGGGAAGAACAUAUGUGUAAGUAACUGUGCACAUCUUGACGGUACCUAAUCAGAAAGCCACGGCUAACUACGUG